Non-coding RNA from Ameiurus melas (black bullhead), 74 nucleotides. The record is from the annotation of a GenBank genome assembly. Lineage: Eukaryota; Metazoa; Chordata; Actinopteri; Siluriformes; Ictaluridae.
UGAGUGUUAGCUAAGCGGUUAAGCUAUUAGACUUCUGAUCAGAAGGUUGUGAGUUCAAAUCCCAACACUACCAA